This 321-nucleotide ribosomal RNA is filed under the name Thecofilosea sp. RNAcentral's name for it is "SSU rRNA". The stretch from base 103 to 321 matches the Rfam family "Eukaryotic small subunit ribosomal RNA", at positions 735 to 955 of the family's 1831-position model. Lineage: Eukaryota; Cercozoa; Thecofilosea. The record is from RNAcentral.
GAUUUCUGGUGUCGCGCUCCUGACCCGCCACGGUUACGUGUGUGAGUGUCGGGAUGUGCACGCCAUCCUUCUAGGCAGCUCGCCUGCUCUUCACUGAGUGGGUGAGUGGCCUAGAUCUUUUACUUUGAAAAAAUUAGAGUGUUUAAAGCAGGCGUUAGCUAUGAAUACAUUAGCAUGGAAUAAUAAUCUAGGACUUGGGUUCUAUUUUGUUGGUUUCUAGGACCGAAGUAAUGAUUGAUAGGGAUAGUUGGGGGUGCUAGUAUUCAGCGGCCAGAGGUGAAAUUCUCGGAUUCGCUGAAGACUAACUACUGCGAAAGCAUU